RNAcentral lists this long non-coding RNA (1954 nucleotides) under Mus musculus (house mouse). Its description in RNAcentral is "long non-coding RNA chr19:15013813-15015767". Lineage: Eukaryota; Metazoa; Chordata; Mammalia; Rodentia; Muridae. The record is from RNAcentral.
UAAUCUAAGAAAGGGAAAAUAGUCUUCUUGAGAAAUUAUGACAGAUCAUCUGACAAACACCAUACAAAAGAAUGAAUAAGGGUAUGCAACUUAUACUCUUUAACUUCUAGCUCAGGAGGGAUCAUAAACCUAGAGGUCAAAGGUGAAAGUAUAAACCUCCCAGAAGUCUAUCAAGGGCUAAAAAAAAAAAAAACAAAAAAACCCCUAGGUAUCCCAGUUUUAGUGAUAUGUAUGGUUUGUAGUAAACAAUACAAUUAAAAUACAAUGGACCAAAUACUUGAAUAUUAACUUUACCCAAAAGGAUAGAUGGUUGUAUAAACAUAAGCAAGGAUAUGGGAGAUCUCUCAUUCAUGGCUGGUGAGAAUACAAAAUGGUAGUCAUUUAUAAAAUAGUCUAGAAGUUUCUUACAGAUCUACACAUAUUUUUUAUUGUAAGACCCAUAAUCAUGCUCCUUGAGGUUAAUCAAAAGAUUUAAAAACUAUGGCAACCCAAAAAUCUGCAAAUGAAUUAUUUAUAGACAAAUUUAUAAUUUCUAAAAUUUGGAAUCAACCAAGAUGUCCUUCAUUAGUUGAACAGAUAAACUCUAGUGCAUCUACACAAAGGAAUAGUAUUUAGCACUAAAAAUUAGUGAAAUAGUCAGCAAGAAAAGACUUGGGAGAAUCUGCAGUAAGCUAAACCAUUUAAGCUCCAAAGGCUUUGUGAACAUCAACUACAUGACAUCCAGGGGUGACACAUCAAAGACAUAAACAGACUGUUGACUAUUGUUGUGUGUUUGACUAUUUCGAAAAAUUCUGUUAAAGCUGAUUCUAACAGUUGUUGCCAGCUUAUUAGCUGUUUUGUUGGGGCAUGGAGCCCUGGAGUUCCCUACUCUACUGUUUUUUGGUGAUCUUUAAUUGUAUUUUACUUUGAGUGAAAUGGGAAGUCACUGGAUAAUUUGGAGUAGAAGAUUGAUUUGAUCUGACAUUUUAAAAGGUUCAUGUAAGCUUCAAUAUCAAGGCUAGAUAGCAUGAGCCUAGGGGCACACACAGGGAGACAAGUUAAGAGGAUACCUUAUGAUCCAGAAAAGCACAUUGAUGGCUUUCAGCAGUGCAUGGGCAAGUGAGAGAAAAUGUGAUUGGUUUCUACAUACAAAUAUGUAAACAUAAGAAAAAAUUAUUGUAAGAUAUAAAAGGAAGAGAGACAUCAAGGAAGGUUGCUUGGUAUAUUUUAACUUUGUCAUAUGCUACUUUUUUUUCCUGUAGUAUAUUGCUUUGAAAAGUGUAGAAAGGGUACCUGCUUCAGAAUAAGAGCCAUCUGCAAGCUACUCAUUCCAUCACUUACCAGUCAUGGUAACUGUUGGAUUUUUAAUGGCUUCAUCAUAUGCGACAAUGAUACUAAUCUUGUUGAGUGUCAAUCAAGACAGUGAUGCAUUGUAUUCAUCCUGGAACUUUCAUUACAGUAAAAUCCAGGAGAAUGUUUAGUUCUCUUUAUAGCCUUUCUGAUCCUGGUACCAGUAGCCCUGUGUUUGUUUGUUUGUUUGUUUGUUUUGUUUUGUUUUUGUUGUUGUUGUUGUUGUUGUUGUUGUUUUUGGCUUUUCGAGACAGGGUUUCUCUGUAUAGCUCUGGCUGUCCUGGAACUCACUUUGUAGACCAGGCUGGCCUCGAUCUCAGAAAUCCACCUGCCUCUGCCUCCCGAGUGCUGAGAUUAAAGGCGUGCACUACCACGCCUGGCAGUAGCCCUGUUUUUGUCAUGAAGUCAGACCUCCAGUCAGUUUUGAAAAACCAGUUUAACACUACUUUCCUCAGUGUAAUAUAGAUAGAGACAAUGUAGAACCUACUCUCCCUUGGAUAUGAAAUACAAGCCUGGGUCUCCUUCCUAGGACAAAAUUGCAGAAAAUCCUUUAUCUCAUUUUACUCUAACAUUAGAAAGUCCUAUGCAGGACUGUACUGUAUAGAUUUCUUCCCCUUGCUCUCUU